CCCCGAGCCCACAACACCUGGCACGCACACAGGCAGUCUCCUAUCAACGACUUGAUCAGGCAGUCUCCUAUCAACGACUUGGUCAGGCAGUCUUCCUGAUGCGCUCACGAUGAGCAGCAGGUUUGCAGCCCGGCCCAGGGCGCCUCACCCCACGUGGCUUUGAUUAAUUGACGAGAGGCGACCACGGCGACACCUGCCGAGUCCCGGGUUGCUCCGGAGGUGUUGCGCUUUCGCUCGUGAGGAGCGGUGGCGCAGUGGUUGGCGCACUGCGCCGUGAGUCCGGCGCUCACGGGAGCCGACGUCGGUGGCGACCCGCUGGACACGUCUCUGGGCAUCCCCCGCCUCGCCCUGGACGGCAUUUAGUGGUGCAAAUUAAAAUCGGCGUGAACGUAUGUGCAGCAACGACCUCUGUGAGCAAAGAGCUUCACAGCCCAUCGGAUUCCUCCUGCUGCUGCUGCAGUCCAAAUGAAGAUUCUGAUUCUGAGAUUCAAGCGUGGCGUGGCGUGUAAACAGGAGGAUCGUGAAGGACGCUGCUACUGGUAAGUUGGAGGCAGGCGCCCUCCAACAACAAUGGAGCGACGCUCACAACAACGAGCGGAGCACCGGGCAGCUAAAAUACAGAAAAUGGGCACAGUAGGGGGCACACCUGGUGCAUCUCUACCAGUCAUCUCAGUCAGUCAACCCAUGGCACCUGGGGUCAGACAUUUCUGACGAUGUGGGACGAGGGGGUGGUUGAGAAAUGUGACGUCACAUCAAA
Lethenteron reissneri (Far Eastern brook lamprey) is the source of this 757-nucleotide long non-coding RNA. RefSeq lists it as uncharacterized. The record is from RefSeq and is a predicted model, not a curated record. Lineage: Eukaryota; Metazoa; Chordata; Hyperoartia; Petromyzontiformes; Petromyzontidae.